Helianthus annuus (common sunflower) is the source of this 454-nucleotide long non-coding RNA. RefSeq lists it as uncharacterized. NCBI's taxonomy places the organism in Eukaryota, Viridiplantae, Streptophyta, Magnoliopsida, Asterales, Asteraceae. The transcript has 3 exons. The record is from RefSeq and is a predicted model, not a curated record.
UGAAACUGAAUAUAAUUAAAACAAAAAUCUCACACACACAAGGUGUGUGUGUGUGCGUGAGAACGAUCAGGAGCAAGGGGAAACCCUUCUCCUUCAACUACUUACAAGAACUCAAGAAUUGGACCUGAUUUUGAGAAGAAAUCGAAUGCAUGAGGCUAGAUAUAACUUAAUCUAAGUGUAUUGAUCAUAAGGAAUCAAGUCGAGACGGGCUCAAGCACGAGGUGUUAACGGGCCAAGAGGAAGCAAGGGAUCGGAUAUGAACACGGAUGCAUGAGGUUGUACGAAUCGCAGGCGGUUGUCACGAGGAAUAGAGAUCGAAGAUCGGGUCACAAAGUAGAUUGUACGGGGAUAAUUGAGUAUGUACUUUAGUAAACAUGACUUAUACCUUAUUUAUGUAAAAGAUUCAUAUUAAAACAAACUUUCAAGUAAGUCAAGACGUUUGUAAUGAAAGAAA